GACGAACGCUGGCGGCGUGCCUAAUACAUGCAAGUCGAACGCUGAAGGAGGAGCUUGCUCUUCUGGAUGAGUUGCGAACGGGUGAGUAACGCGUAGGUAACCUGCCUGGUAGCGGGGGAUAACUAUUGGAAACGAUAGCUAAUACCGCAUAACAGUAGAUGUUGCAUGACAUUUACUUAAAAGGUGCAAUUGCAUCACUACCAGAUGGACCUGCGUUGUAUUAGCUAGUUGGUGGGGUAACGGCUCACCAAGGCGACGAUACAUAGCCGACCUGAGAGGGUGAUCGGCCACACUGGGACUGAGACACGGUCCAGACUCCUACGGGAGGCAGCAGUAGGGAAUCUUCGGCAAUGGACGGAAGUCUGACCGAGCAACGCCGCGUGAGUGAAGAAGGUUUUCGGAUCGUAAAGCUCUGUUGUAAGAGAAGAACGAGUGUGAGAGUGGAAAGUUCACACUGUGACGGUAUCUGACCAGAAAGGGACGGCUAACUACGUG
This 495-nucleotide ribosomal RNA is filed under the name uncultured bacterium. RNAcentral's name for it is "partial 16S ribosomal RNA". It matches the Rfam family "Bacterial small subunit ribosomal RNA", at positions 28 to 507 of the family's 1533-position model. The record is from RNAcentral.